Centruroides sculpturatus (bark scorpion) is the source of this 139-nucleotide long non-coding RNA. RefSeq lists it as uncharacterized. NCBI's taxonomy places the organism in Eukaryota, Metazoa, Arthropoda, Arachnida, Scorpiones, Buthidae. The transcript is spliced from 3 exons. The record is from RefSeq and is a predicted model, not a curated record.
GUUGGAGAAGCCAUAUUUAACUUAUUAUCAGAGAAUAUGAAGUCGAUCUUCUGUUCAUACAUUUUCGUUGUAUAUUUUAUAGUUAUGGAAGGAAAAGAGGAUAAUUGUCCUGAUAUAAUGAUAUUUAAAAGUAUUUAUU